CAUGCUAGUCGAACGAACAGAACUAUGUCUGUAAGUGGCAUACUGCUCAGUAACACGUAGCUAACCUACCCUUAGGACGUCGAUAACCCCGAGAAAUUGGGGCUAAUAGGCGAUAGAUGUAUUGUCCUGGAAUGGUAAUACGUCCAAAGGUAUCCCAUACAUGUUUGGUAUACGCCUAAGGAUGGGGCUGCGGCCGAUCAGGCUGUUGGUGAGGUAAUGGCUCACCAAACCUUUGACCGGUAUGGGCCAUGAGAGUGGUAGCCCAGAGAUGGACACUGAGACAAGGGUCCAGGCCCUACGGGGCGCAGCAGGCGCGAAACCUCCUCAAUGCACUAACGUGCGAAGGGGUUACCUCGAGUGCCACCUGAAGAAGGUGGCUUUUCCUUGGUCUAAAAAGCCUAGGGAAUAAGAGGGGGGCAAGACUGGUGUCAGCCGCCGCGGUAACACCAGCCCCUCGAGUGGUGGGGAUGAUUAUUUGGCCUAAAGCGUCCGUAGCCGGCCGGGUAAGUUUCCCGUUAAAUCCAGCGUCUCAAGCGUUGGACUGCGGGAAAUACUGCCUGGCUAGAGAGUGGGAGAGGUCAGCGGUAUUCUGGGGGUAGGGGCGAAAUCCUUUGAUCCCCGGAGGACCACCAGUGGCGAAGGCUGCUGACUAGAACACGUCUGACGGUCAGGGACGAAAGCUGGGGUAGCGAACCGGAUUAGAUACCCGGGUAGUCCCAGCCGUAAACGAUGCAUGCUAGGUGUUGGGUUGGCCACGAGCCACCCCAGUGCCGCAGGGAAGCCGUUAAGCAUGCCGCCUGGGAAGUACGAUCGCAAGGUUGAAACUUAAAGGAAUUGGCGGGGGAGCACCACCAGGCGUGAAGCCUGCGGUUUAAUUGGAUUCAACGCC
RNAcentral lists this ribosomal RNA (889 nucleotides) under uncultured archaeon. RNAcentral describes it as "bacterial SSU rRNA". It matches the Rfam family "Archaeal small subunit ribosomal RNA", at positions 50 to 919 of the family's 1478-position model. The record is from RNAcentral.